This 548-nucleotide ribosomal RNA is filed under the name uncultured bacterium. Its description in RNAcentral is "partial 16S ribosomal RNA". It matches the Rfam family "Bacterial small subunit ribosomal RNA", at positions 355 to 895 of the family's 1533-position model. The record is from RNAcentral.
UGGGGAAUUUUGGGACAAUGGGGGAAACCCUGAUCCAGCCAUCCCGCGUGUGCGAUGAAGGCCUUCGGGUUGUAAAGCACUUUUGGCAGGAAAGAAACGUCGCGGGUUAAUACCCCGCGAAACUGACGGUACCUGCAGAAUAAGCACCGGCUAACUACGUGCCAGCAGCCGCGGUAAUACGUAGGGUGCAAGCGUUAAUCGGAAUUACUGGGCGUAAAGCGUGCGCAGGCGGUUCGGAAAGAAAGAUGUGAAAUCCCAGAGCUUAACUUUGGAACUGCAUUUUUAACUACCGGGCUAGAGUGUGUCAGAGGGAGGUGGAAUUCCGCGUGUAGCAGUGAAAUGCGUAGAUAUGCGGAGGAACACCGAUGGCGAAGGCAGCCUCCUGGGAUAACACUGACGCUCAUGCACGAAAGCGUGGGGAGCAAACAGGAUUAGAUACCCUGGUAGUCCACGCCCUAAACGAUGUCAACUAGCUGUUGGGGCCUUCGGGCCUUGGUAGCGCAGCUAACGCGUGAAGUUGACCGCCUGGGGAGUACGGUCGCAAGAUU